GCUUACGGCCACACCGCCUGGUUCACGCCUGAUCUCGGAAGCUAAGAUGGGUUGGGCCUGGUUAGUACUUGGAUGGGAGACCGCCUGGGAAUACCAGGUGCUGUAAGCU
This is a ribosomal RNA of Scophthalmus maximus (turbot), 109 nucleotides long. NCBI's taxonomy places the organism in Eukaryota, Metazoa, Chordata, Actinopteri, Pleuronectiformes, Scophthalmidae. The record is from Ensembl.